GUCUAAUCUGCUCAAUGAAUAAUUUUAAAUAGCUGCAAUAUUUUAAUUGUACAAAGGUAGCAUAAUCAUUUGUCUUUUAAUUUAAGAAUAGAAUGAAAGAUUAAAUAAAAUAUUAACUAUAUUAAUUCAAUAAAAAUUUAAAUUUUAUUUUUAAGUAAAAAAUCUUAAAUUUAUUUAUUAGACGAUAAGACCCUAUAGAACUUUAUACUUAUUUUUAAUAUUAAUUUUUAUUAUUAUUAUUUUAAAAUAAAUAUUAUAUUGGGGGUAUAAAAAAAUUUAAUAAAUUUUUUUAUUA
RNAcentral lists this ribosomal RNA (295 nucleotides) under Phaenoglyphis villosa. RNAcentral's name for it is "partial 16S ribosomal RNA". The record is from RNAcentral. Lineage: Eukaryota; Metazoa; Arthropoda; Insecta; Hymenoptera; Figitidae.